RNAcentral lists this transfer RNA (75 nucleotides) under Sphingobacteriia bacterium. RNAcentral describes it as "tRNA-Arg". It matches the Rfam family "tRNA". Rfam says of the family: Transfer RNA (tRNA) molecules are approximately 80 nucleotides in length. Lineage: Bacteria; Pseudomonadati; Bacteroidota; Sphingobacteriia. The record is from RNAcentral.
GGCGCCGUAGUUCAAUGGAUAGAAUAGAAGUUUCCUAAACUUUUGAUACAGGUUCGAUUCCUGUCGGAGCCACUA